This 554-nucleotide ribosomal RNA is filed under the name uncultured bacterium. RNAcentral describes it as "bacterial SSU rRNA". It matches the Rfam family "Bacterial small subunit ribosomal RNA", at positions 102 to 674 of the family's 1533-position model. The record is from RNAcentral.
ACGGGUGAGUAACACGUAGGUAACCUACCCUUCAGUGGGGGACAACAGAGGGAAACUUCUGCUAAUACCGCAUACGAUCACGGACUGGGAUGUUCGUGGUGAAAGGAUUUAUUCGCUGAGGGAUGGGCCUGCGGCCUAUCAGGUAGUUGGUGGGGUAAUGGCCUACCAAGCCUGCGACGGGUAGCCGGACUGAGAGGUCGAUCGGCCACACUGGAACUGAGACACGGUCCAGACUCCUACGGGAGGCAGCAGUGGGGAAUAUUGCACAAUGGGGGAAACCCUGAUGCAGCGACGCCGCGUGGAGGAUGACGGCCUUCGGGUUGUAAACUCCCUUUGUCGGGGACAAUGGUGAUGGUACCCGACGAAUAAGCCACGGCUAACUCUGUGCCAGCAGCCGCGGUAAGACAGAGGUGGCGAGCGUUGUUCGGAAUUACUGGGCUUAAAGGGCGCGUAGGCGGUGGUGUAAGUCUAGGGUGGAAUGCUACAGCUCAACUGUAGAGCUGCCUUGGAAACUGCAUUACUUGAGUCGGUGAGGGGAAGGUGGAAUUCCAGGU